UAGGGAAUCUUCGGCAAUGGACGGAAGUCUGACCGAGCAACGUCGCGUGAGUGAAGAGGGUUUUCGGAUCGUAAAGCUCUGUUGUUAGAGAAGAACGUUGGUAGGAGUGGAAAAUCUACCAAGUGACGGUAACUAACCAGAAAGGGACGGCUAACUACGUGCAAGCAGCCGCGGUAAUACGUAGGUCCCGAGCGUUGUACGGAUUUAUUGGGCGUAAAGCGAGCGCAGGCGGUUCUUUAAGUCUGAAGUUAAAGGCAGUGGCUUAACCAUUGUACGCUUUGGAAACUGGAGGACUUGAGUGCAGAAGGGGAGAGUGGAAUUCCAUGUGUAGCGGUGAAAUGCGUAGAUAUAUGGAGGAACACCGGUGGCAAAAGCGGCUCUCUGAUCUGUAUCUGACGCUGAGGCUCGAAAGCGUGGGGAGCAAACAGG
This 429-nucleotide ribosomal RNA is filed under the name Bacillota bacterium. Its description in RNAcentral is "Firmicutes bacterium partial 16S ribosomal RNA". It matches the Rfam family "Bacterial small subunit ribosomal RNA", at positions 355 to 776 of the family's 1533-position model. Lineage: Bacteria; Bacillati; Bacillota. The record is from RNAcentral.